Doryrhamphus excisus (bluestripe pipefish) is the source of this 4657-nucleotide non-coding RNA. The record is from RefSeq and is a predicted model, not a curated record. NCBI's taxonomy places the organism in Eukaryota, Metazoa, Chordata, Actinopteri, Syngnathiformes, Syngnathidae.
CUACACACUCAGUAUGGCUUAGUCCAAUCCUCCUUGAAGGAGGAAGUGGAGGUUUAAAUACAGUAGCACAGCAGCGUGGAGUCUUUCACCCGGAAGUCAGCUCAUGCAUGUGUGUACAGGGAUUAAAUCAUUAGCAUCAGAUUAGCAAACAACCUAGUGACAGGUCGCUCUUGCCAAUCCAGGCAGGGAAUCUGAAGAUUACAACUCGGAACUCACGAAUGGAGUGGGAGGGAUGCAUAACAUAACACGGCAGGCGUAGAUGGAUCAAUUGUUUAAUGUGUAUGAAAACUUCAAACCAGAUUGUCUUUUGUGGGUUCAAGGAACAGCCUGGGAUGUGUGGCAGCGAGGAGGCCGGUUGAUCCCCAUGCAAAGGACCCUGUUGACCAAUGGAGCCCUGUUGCCUGCAGCCCGGUAACCCUGGGUUCACAAGCAGACCCUCUUCUCACCCUCUUCUCCGUACUCCCGGGUCCCUCUGUUGUGCACAGGGUACUGCUGGUUGACGCGGCAAAAGGUGGCGAGGCCGUGGCAACAUGGCAGGAGUCUAUCCCAGCAAGCCUAGCAGCAUCUCCCCGACUCCAAGAAAGUAGACGCCCUGUGCAAUGCCAAAAAGGGGGGCGAUGACCAGCGCGCGACACGUUGCGCCCUUUAGGAAAGCUGACGGCCCCUCUCGCCUCAUGAUGCGCCUGCAACGGAUAAGAUGACAAAUUGGAUGCUCGCACCUCAAGUAUGUGGCUCCAAGAUGGUGGGGUUUUAUUCCAAAACGCUCACCGUGUGCAGUCCAUGAUUCCUCUGUAGCUGUCCUCUCCUUCGCCUUUUUGCAGUGUUUGCAGGCGAGUUUUUAUGACUGUAUGGGUGGGAAAGACGUCUUUUAAUUCUACUACAAUCUGACGGCCCGCUAGAGUAAGUGGCAGCUUGUCAAUCAAAUGCAUACAUACAAAGGUCUUGGGCAGAAAACACUUAUUUAGCGUAUCUUGGUGAUAAUUCAUACAUAAAGUAUGCCCUCGCUCUAUCACGGUUCACAUUUCGCGGUUUCGCGGAUUCGCUGUAUUACUGUAGUGCUUUUUUAUUGCAGGUAUGAAAGUUGUUACAGGCAAGCGUGGCCCUUUUAAAAAGAAGUGCAUUGUGGGAAGUUGUGUCUUUCUCACGCUCCCUCUUGGGUCGAAACACAGUUCUCUUGCUGUGGUCUGUCUGCACCCCCAUUGUUUUCUGCGUCCUGAUUGGCUGUCGGCCGUUGUCAAUCAAUCUACUUCGCGCCCUACCUUGUCUCCUGCACGUGUCAUCGCUAGCUUGCGUGCUCGCUAGCUUGAAGGAGGACGACGCCGAUAUGUUUCAACAAAGGUACAAAUACUACAUUACUACAUCAUUUCUUGUGCCCUCUAGCUUUUUUGAGAGAAUUUAAAGAAGAGAAAUGGGAUUUGUCUGAGAAGUGUAUAAAAUGUAUGGUUAGGGGGUUCACAGCAUUAACAUAUGUCAUAAAGAAGCUGUCUACUUAGCCAAUUUAACCUAAUGUGGGCUCAUUUGGGAACCAAUGCCCCUCAAUAAACGAGACACAUUUUUAAUUUAAAGUGAAAACAAUGAGAUAAAAUGUCAAACAUAAAAGAUAAAGGUUUAAAUGUGAGAUCAAAAGUCAUUUAUAUAAGUCCAAAUAGUGUGCUAAAAAGUCAAAAUUAUCAGAUCAAUUAUAAGAGCACCAGAGAAGCCACAUUCCAUGUCCCAAGAACCAGAUUUGGCCACCAAAGACAUUUUUCUAACCAGCUUGACUUCAAUUUGGUGGAUUAAAUCUUUUUCUUAAACGUCAAAGUGAAAAAAUGUUGGCAUGACAGCCGCCACUCUCUCCAUCCCAUAGAUGCCACGCCCUGGCCUCACUGGCGAUCAUUCAUCAACUGGCUUUAUUACGUGCGUGGAUUAAGAAUUUAUAUUCACUUCCUCUAUUAAAAGUCAACUGUCCUUGAAGAAUAGCAGACUGACCAUUGGGAGUUUGUUAGCAGAACCAGGCAACCAGGAUGACAACAGGAAGAAGAAUAUGACGUAUCGUACUGUAGCGCAGCGAACUCCAGUUCAGAGUGGCGGUGCAAUAAAUGCCCGAUCACGUUCCACACUCACCGUCCAGUGGCGUGACGGCCACAGCUGCCACCGAGCCUGCAGCGCAGCCGGCCACAAAGGACUGCCAGAAAGGUGCCCGGGCCUGCACGGCGCUCGGACUUCCGUCUUUUUCCCUCCCCAGCGAGUUCAGGUUGGCAAACAGUGGGAAGUAGAUCAUUGAGAAGGGGACAUCCCUGGAAAAGAUGGUGUGUCAGAGGGUUUAGUUGCACAAUUCAGCAUGUCAGAGAAAGUUUAUUUCAUCCUCGGUGGGAAUUGGGGAAGAAGGGUGGAUAGAAAUGACUAAUAGCGAUCAGACCAAAGCAGAACGUCAACGUAGCAGCCAGACAUCGCUGGGGGAAUGUAUUGAUUUAUGUUGAUUAGAAGAGCCUGUACAGCAAACACUGUUCAUGACGGUUAUGUAAUCCUCACAGAAGCAAUCAAAACACUAAUGGCAACAGCUGACAAAUCAACUUAUUGUACAUAACUAAAAUACAAAUAGUAGCCAUUAUGACUGCCACUCAAUUUGGGAAUGUUGUAGUCCAAAUUGGUCAAAGCAUCAAACUUAUUAAAAGUAUUUUCUGUGCGUAUACGCUAUACUCGGCCAUACAUUUUGGUACAUUCCUUGAUUCAUUUUCUACCAUCUAUCCUGACUUUAGAUUUGGCUAUGUCUUCCAAGCACAAGGCAGGCUCUCCUGGUGGCAGGAAGUGAAAGUGAACAUCAUAAAUAGCUCAGAGAGGGGAGAAACGCCCACUUCUGGUCUGAACCACUCGACUGUCGCGACCAUCAUUAAGGAUGGAGAUGUAUCAUUAUAUCCUGCAGUGGUUAAGGGUUUUUCUUAGGUAUGAAUCCCAACUGAACUCAUUCGUAACCCGAGUACCACCUGUACUGACUUGAGCAACCUUAAAAGUGUAAAAAAAACAAAACAUUGAUGUGUGUGUAUGACCUCAUUAAGGUGGCUCCUGCUCCCCUAUAGAGACCACUUAGACCUCGAGUCUUCAGCAACUCCAUUGUGAUGCUGGUGGCAGAUGCACGCUGGGCAGGACCGGGUCGGGCCGGCUGGGGUGCCACCAAUGAUGGAGCUGGCCCGGGACCAGUAGCCUGAGCUGGUGUGUGGACUUUACUCUGGGCAGCUGAGGAAUGGAACUCAUCCUCCCUGCGUCCUGUAGCUGGAUUUUCAGCAUCUCCAUCGGUGUGGUGACCACCACCUGACAGGUACCAGCCCCGCACCCUGCCAGAACCUCCCCCCACAAGGGCAAAUGGCUAAUGACACAGACAGACAAAAUCAUUGUUAAUAUGGUUACUUUCCAUGCACUUGUUUCCUCUCAAGUCUACUUCAUUGAAAUGAAUUACAACUUGGAAAAUUCUCCGAAUACGUAAAUGAGUGGUUGAACAAGUAGGAUAUGUCUACAGUAUGUCAAUACACUCCAGCCGAGUUGGAAAGAGUGCAAGAACUGACAUUUUGCAGCGUUGGAUCUUAGGGAGCUUCUACGUAGCACAUCAAAAUGCAAAAGAAAUACCCAUCCUUUGAGAGCUUCUGUCUGAAGGCAUCGUUAGCGGCCAGUUUGAUGGCCUUUUCCGGUGUGACGAGAGUGAGGUUGACUGCUGCACCUGAAGGACACAAACCAGCGAAUGACACAGUCGCAAAGGCCAAUAGAAUAGAACCAUUCACCAGCACGGAGGCCAGCGCCAUUGAUGAGCUAAUGAGCAGAGGGUUUGCAGUGCAAAACAAGCGAGUGGGUGGCGGGAUUAGGUUUGUUUGAAAUGCAAAGAAUACCUCUGUAGCAUCCAAAAUAGCCUUCUGAGCGCACCGUCUUCGCUAGACAGUCCCACCUUCAAUGACCAAAGAGGAAAAGAUGAACUACGAUAACAAUAGAACUUAAACAUGCUUGCUUUAUACACUGUGUCACUGAGCACGCCUUAUAUACAUGCGCACACGACAAUCUACAGUACGGUCUGGACAAAUGAAACUUUGUUAUUAUUCGGCCUGGAAGGGAAUAAAACAUUCCGGCUGUUUUUCCAUCUCUGAGUCACAGUGGAAAACCACAGUCUGAAAGUUUAGCCACACCCAAUCACAAGGCAGGACGCAUGCCCAGCACAUGAGAGCAGCGGGGUCUUAUAAGGACACCACUCUUCCUUGCCGCUCAUAUUUGCCCACUUUCAUAUUUCAGCAAACCAUCCGGCUGCAUUGUAAAGGUGUGUGGUGCAACUUCUUACCAAUGCCACUGAGCAACACUGCAGAUAGGAGUGUUUUUAGCUCCUCUAUGGUACGUCUGUGACACUGCAAACAUUGGUCAAUUCGUCAGGACACAAAGGUGUGUUGCGGAUCCAUCCGGUUUUUGUUUUUCUUGAAGAUAAUAUUCCAAAAAUUACAACUUAAGUCGUUUGUUUGUCAUAUCACGACUUAACAAAUAUUUCAACUUUACGCAUUUAUAUGCAAGAUUUCUAUUUUUCCUCUUAAUAUUAUUACUGCUGAUUCUACCAUUGUUUUGGUAGUUUUCUUGUUAAAUUAUACUUUUAAAAAUGUGCUGUGGGCCACUCAUGCACCCACCCCCUUUUUUUCUAAAAAAUUUACAA